RNAcentral lists this ribosomal RNA (450 nucleotides) under uncultured Syntrophaceae bacterium. RNAcentral's name for it is "bacterial SSU rRNA". It matches the Rfam family "Bacterial small subunit ribosomal RNA", at positions 933 to 1382 of the family's 1533-position model. The record is from RNAcentral. Lineage: Bacteria; Pseudomonadati; Thermodesulfobacteriota; Syntrophia; Syntrophales; Syntrophaceae.
UGGAGCAUGUGGUUUAAUUCGAUGCAACGCGAAGAACCUUACCUGGGCUUGACAUCCCGGGAAUCCCCCUGGAAACAGGGAGUGCCCUUCGGGAACCCGGUGACAGGUGCUGCAUGGCUGUCGUCAGCUCGUGUCGUGAGAUGUUGGGUUAAGUCCCGCAACGAGCGCAACCCUUGUCUUUAAUUGCCAUCAUUUAGUUGGGCACUUUAAAGAGACUGCCGGUGUUAAGCCGGAGGAAGUGGGGAUGACGUCAAGUCCUCAUGGCCUUUAUGCCCAGGGCUACACACGUGCUACAAUGGGCGGUACAAAGAGAAGCAACCUCGCGAGGGUGAGCAAAUCUCAAAAAGCCGUUCUCAGUUCGGAUUGAAGUCUGCAACUCGACUUCAUGAAGUCGGAAUCGCUAGUAAUCGCGGAUCAGCAUGCCCGCGGUCGAAUACGUUCCCGGGCCUU